Molecule: long non-coding RNA, 1744 nt
Organism: Artibeus jamaicensis (Jamaican fruit-eating bat)
Lineage: Eukaryota; Metazoa; Chordata; Mammalia; Chiroptera; Phyllostomidae
Exons: 3
Source: RefSeq, a predicted model, not a curated record
GGUCGCCAUUUUGCAUUCGCUAUCAAACUUUUUUUUCCCUCCAAAACGGGAAUGUGCGGUAAUGAGGAGCACCAACGCCCCAGGAUUAUUUUUUUUAACAUGGAAAUAGUAGAUUGCUUAUCAUCUUUGCUUAUAAAUCUGUAAUCUUCACAAGUUUAUAUAUGACAUGAACUAGCACCAGGAUUCUGAAAGGACGGGCGUGUAACUAGAGUUGCUGCCAGUUAGAUGCUCGCUGUCCCCCUCCUCAGCUACAGUACCGUAAAAACGAUGCUUUUCACCAGGAUGGAUACCAUCGAGUGCAUGACAGAUUGUCACCAUACCGGUAAAACAACGCAAAGCUCAUAACCUAACCAUGGUGUAAGGCAGUAUUUUGGAGAGCACUGUCACUCCUAACACACAUUCUUGAUAAUUAUCAAUGGUACAUGGUACAGGUUUUCAAACACAUAAUUUAGAACAAAUAUGUGAAACCCCACGUAUACUGAGCAAGCAUUAAGAUAAUAGAACCUAAGCUUCUAUUGUGCUAUGGCACCUCUAAAGCGCCAUAUCCCUUGGUAAGUAAAGUUCUAUGCCUAUUUCCUAUAAAAUGAGAACAGUACCUACUUCACAGGGUUGUUGAUGAGUUGAGCAUACCAUUUUAAAAAAAAAGUAGCCCUGACUGGUGUGGCUUAGUGGGUUGAACAAUCUCCUGCAAGCCAAAAGGUGGCAGGUUCAAUUUCCAGUCAGGGCAUAUGCUUGGGUUGUGGGCCAGGUCCCCAGGAACACGCAGCCCAUCUAUGUUUCUCUCCCUGCCUUUAAAAAUAAACUUUAAAAUGUUUAAAAAAGAAAAAAAUGAUUCUGGUUUUAAUACCUGUGAUGAAGGUAGGGCAGGGGGAAAAUUCACUGAACAUUCGGGAAGCUAACAAACACCAGCAUAUUUGGUCAUGUGGUAUUCCAUUAGUGCCAUACCACAGAUGGAGAUUUUUGGAUAAUGCUCACAAAGGGGCAUUACUGCAUUGACUGUCCACACUCCACUGGGUGAGCACUGGGCCCAGCAAUCCCAGAGGAUAGACAUGUUAUCAGAUGUGGGAGCUUUGUCAUAACUUUUUCAGUGCUUAAACUUUUUCUUAAUUCUCAAAAGGGAAUCUUGGAGGUGAUCUAGCCCAACCCCUUCAUUUAACACCUGAAGACGCAUCUCAGCCAACACUGUUUGAUAGUAGAGCCAGGGCUGAUGUCCAGGUUUUCUGACUGCCCUCUACUCCUCUGUACAACUGUCCUGCAAUGUUAUUCAAUCCUGGUUAUUGUUUCCACUAUGGGAAACUUGUUUUAGGUGCCACAGUAUAAUGAAGAUACAUGUACGUACACACGUCAGCUAAAGUUACCACUGAGCCCACUGAUGCUCAGGCAAGAGCACAGGUCCUUUCAAGAGGCCAUGCCUACAAUUCUUUGAUAAGCUUAGUGCUUUUAACAUGACUGGAACCUUGCUCUCACAUAUUCAGGCAAUGCUGUCCCCGUGGCAAGAUUUGUAUGUAGAAAUCCUUAUCAACCAAUAUUCCACUUCAGAAAUCUCAAAGCUGUACCCUUCUAUGGUUGGGAACAAACACCGAGUCUCAUCACACAACAUUCAUUCUUUACAUAUACAAACUCUAGUGUAAAUCCUUAGUACCCGCCUUGAACAGCUCUCCAGAUAGCUUUUCCCAUGCUCACAUCAGCAGCUCCACUGCCUCUGAUCCUUUUACAUGAAUUUAUUUCUAUACAAGGUUCUAAA